RNAcentral lists this ribosomal RNA (494 nucleotides) under uncultured bacterium. RNAcentral describes it as "partial 16S ribosomal RNA". It matches the Rfam family "Bacterial small subunit ribosomal RNA", at positions 28 to 507 of the family's 1533-position model. The record is from RNAcentral.
GACGAACGCUGGCGGCGUGCUUAACACAUGCAAGUCGAACGGAAAGGCCUGCUUUCCCUUGUGGAUUGCGGGUACUCGAGUGGCGAACGGGUGAGUAACACGUGAGUGAUCUGCCCCCAACUUGGGUAUAAGCCUGGGAAACUGGGUCUAAUUCCCGAUAGGACUGCAGGGUGGUGCCUGUGGUGGAAAACGAUUUUCUAGUGGUUGGGGAUGAGCUCGCGGCCUAUCAGCUUGUUGGUGGGGUAAUGGCCUACCAAGGCGGCGACGGGUAGCCGGCCUGGGAGGGUGGACGGCCGCAUUGGGACUGCGAUACGGCCCAGACUCCUACGGGAGGCAGCAGUGGGGAAUAUUGCACAAUGGGCGGAAGCCUGAUGCAGCGACGCCGCGUGGGGGAUGACGGCCUUCGGGUGGUAAACUCCUUUCGACCGCGAGGAAGCCACCUGGUUGGAAGGGUGGUGACGGUAGUGGUAGAAGAAGCACCGGCUAACUACGUG